Molecule: long non-coding RNA, 1172 nt
Filed under: Homo sapiens (human)
Lineage: Eukaryota; Metazoa; Chordata; Mammalia; Primates; Hominidae
Description: cancer/testis associated transcript 69
Source: RNAcentral
AGGGUGCUUAGCAGAAUCCUCAGCUCACAAGAUGAAUAAAUGCAGACUAAAUGAUGCACAAAUAAUCUUCACACACAACCAUCAACACAUGGAAAGACUGCAGGACGGCCAGAUCCCAAGCUAACAAACAGGGGAAGAUGAUGUUUCAAAUGAUCAUCUGAAUGCUGGGUUUCCACCUUCCACCAGGAAGUCAUAUGGUAAAAAGAAAAAAAAUGGCAUUAUGAUACAAACAGAAAAUGUAACAGUGGAGUGCAGAAAAUACAAAAAAAAGGAAAAAAUAAAUAGAAAAUCUUCAAAGAGGCAAUCUGUUUAAAUCUUCAAGAACUGGAAACAGUAAAAGUGAACAGGUUUUUAUUGAGCAUGUCAAUAAAAUGUUUGCAUAAGACUUUACAAGUGCUUUAUUUCAUGAGGUUUUUAUUAUUGAUCAAAGCAACGAAAAUGAACGGGAAAUUCAUUCUCAUCAAAUCUACAACUUGGGAGGAGGUCCGAUGAAAUCCCUGGAAGCUCACAUUUUUUAUAAAUGAAGAGUUAAUUACCGGUGGGAACAAUGAGAACCUCUGUGGUUCUUCCUGAUGCUUGGAUCCUCCCAGACCUCUGUUUCCAGUCUCCUUCUCCACAACCUGGCCUAUGCGAUGCAAGUGGUCUAACUGAUCUCCGCCUAGGGAAGGAUCCUUCGGCAACUUGCCGACAAGAGAAGCAGCGAUGCCCGAGGCAGGUCCAAAGGAGCACUGACUGCGUGGGAUUGAUUACACUGGAGGAACAAAAGGUCCUGUGGCUACACAAGUUUGAAAAGCAGAAGGUACAAUCAUUGUAUUUCUGGCAGACUUUUCAAAGACUUUAAUAUAUGAAUCCCUCAUAUGAAUCUCCUGGAGGAUUAUAUAAUAGGCAGAUCUCCCAGCCAUUUUCACUGAACAGUUCUUAGAAUUGGUAUCCUUGAAAAAUUUCACCUAACCACUCAAUAUGGUAGCCACUAGUCCUGGGUGGCUAUUGAGCACCUGAAAUUUGCCUAGUCUGAAUUAAGACACAUUCUAAGAAUAAAGCACACUGUAUUUCAAAGGCAGUACAAAAAUAAAAAAGAAUGUAAGCUGUCUCAAUAAUAAUUUUUGUAUUGAAUACGUGUUGAAAUGAUGUUAUUUUUGAUAUAUUGAGUGAAAUAAAUUGUAUUGCUAAAA